AAGCAGAUCGCGCUGGGGAAAGGCCACGUCGCUAUGCGUGUGUUUCAGUCUACCUGGAUUAAACGUUUGCUUCUCUUCGUCUACCUUGAUUAAACGUGCACUUCGCAGUCCUCGGUUCUCCAUACCCGUGACCUGGGGAUCGCUACGGACCUUAAAAUACCCGCAACAGCCCCUUCGUCCCAAAUUUGACUUUUAAAGAAUUAAUUAUAUUGACUGAGAGAGAGGCCCAGGAGAGAAAGAAGAAAGAAAAGGAGCCAGGGAUGGCUCUUCCUCAGGGAUCUUUGACAUUCAGGGAUGUAGCCAUAGAAUUCUCUCAGGAGGAGUGGAAAUGCCUGGACCCUGUUCAGAAAGCUUUGUACAGGGACGUGAUGUUGGAGAACUACAGGAA
Molecule: long non-coding RNA, 388 nt
Filed under: Pan troglodytes (chimpanzee)
Lineage: Eukaryota; Metazoa; Chordata; Mammalia; Primates; Hominidae
Description: long non-coding RNA NONPTRT008609
Source: RNAcentral